AUUGAGUCAAUUCCAAGGGGAGGAAGGAGAGCGAGCCCUCCCAGCGCGAUUGAGCUGCUGCUGUUGAGGGGGGGGGGAGACCACAAAGUGAGACUAAAAGUGACACCGAAUCGGAGACUGCAGCUGGGUCUAAGGCAGUGAACGGGCAGCACUGGCUUGUUUCGCCCGCAUCUGUGCUGUUUGUAGAUGGUUGUGAUGUGCAAACGUUGGUACCGAUGACUGUGUUUGCUGUCUAUUAUAGCCACCCACCCAUCAUGCUGGACCUUCUGCAUGUAUGCUUCAUUCUAUAGCCUCUGCUGAUCACAGAAGCUGUUUGAUGUUUAACCAAGCAGUCACAGCCAGGCAGAUGCUAAAGCGAUCAGCUGUUUCUUCUUGUUUCACAAGCCCAUGGGUGGCCAGCUUUAGAAGACUUGCGGGGUCUUAUUUUAGAUGCUACACACUGACACAGGCUGCUCCUGGUCUUGACAUGCCUGAAAGAGGCCAUUUUGCUGCUCCCGGACUUUGGAACUCCUUCCCACUGGAGGCCCGGCUGGCCCCAUCUCUGCUGUCCUUCCCCAAGCAGGCCAAGAC
This 570-nucleotide long non-coding RNA is filed under the name Pogona vitticeps (central bearded dragon). Its description in RNAcentral is "lncRNA (ENSPVIG00000014156.1)". Lineage: Eukaryota; Metazoa; Chordata; Lepidosauria; Squamata; Agamidae. The record is from RNAcentral.